This 529-nucleotide ribosomal RNA is filed under the name Bifidobacterium longum subsp. suillum. RNAcentral's name for it is "bacterial SSU rRNA". It matches the Rfam family "Bacterial small subunit ribosomal RNA", at positions 152 to 696 of the family's 1533-position model. The record is from RNAcentral. Lineage: Bacteria; Bacillati; Actinomycetota; Actinomycetes; Bifidobacteriales; Bifidobacteriaceae.
GGAAACGGGUGGUAAUGCCGGAUGCUCCAGUUGAUCGCAUGGUCUUCUGGGAAAGCUUUCGCGGUAUGGGAUGGGGUCGCGUCCUAUCAGCUUGACGGCGGGGUAACGGCCCACCGUGGCUUCGACGGGUAGCCGGCCUGAGAGGGCGACCGGCCACAUUGGGACUGAGAUACGGCCCAGACUCCUACGGGAGGCAGCAGUGGGGAAUAUUGCACAAUGGGCGCAAGCCUGAUGCAGCGACGCCGCGUGAGGGAUGGAGGCCUUCGGGUUGUAAACCUCUUUUAUCGGGGAGCAAGCGAGAGUGAGUUUACCCGUUGAAUAAGCACCGGCUAACUACGUGCCAGCAGCCGCGGUAAUACGUAGGGUGCAAGCGUUAUCCGGAAUUAUUGGGCGUAAAGGGCUCGUAGGCGGUUCGUCGCGUCCGGUGUGAAAGUCCAUCGCUUAACGGUGGAUCCGCGCCGGGUACGGGCGGGCUUGAGUGCGGUAGGGGAGACUGGAAUUCCCGGUGUAACGGUGGAAUGUGUAGAUA